Molecule: ribosomal RNA, 625 nt
Filed under: bacterium LGM46
Lineage: Bacteria
Description: bacterial SSU rRNA
Rfam family: Bacterial small subunit ribosomal RNA
Source: RNAcentral
GUCGAGCGGUAGAGAGAAGCUUGCUUCUCUUGAGAGCGGCGGACGGGUGAGUAAUGCCUAGGAAUCUGCCUGGUAGUGGGGGAUAACGUUCGGAAACGGACGCUAAUACCGCAUACGUCCUACGGGAGAAAGCAGGGGACCUUCGGGCCUUGCGCUAUCAGAUGAGCCUAGGUCGGAUUAGCUAGUUGGUGAGGUAAUGGCUCACCAAGGCGACGAUCCGUAACUGGUCUGAGAGGAUGAUCAGUCACACUGGAACUGAGACACGGUCCAGACUCCUACGGGAGGCAGCAGUGGGGAAUAUUGGACAAUGGGCGAAAGCCUGAUCCAGCCAUGCCGCGUGUGUGAAGAAGGUCUUCGGAUUGUAAAGCACUUUAAGUUGGGAGGAAGGGUUGUAGAUUAAUACUCUGCAAUUUUGACGUUACCGACAGAAUAAGCACCGGCUAACUCUGUGCCAGCAGCCGCGGUAAUACAGAGGGUGCAAGCGUUAAUCGGAAUUACUGGGCGUAAAGCGCGCGUAGGUGGUUUGUUAAGUUGGAUGUGAAAUCCCCGGGCUCAACCUGGGAACUGCAUUCAAAACUGACUGACUAGAGUAUGGUAGAGGGUGGUGGAAUUUCCUGUGUAGCGG